GUCUUUUUGAUAAUAAUUUAAAGUCUAGCCUGCCCACUGAUAAUUUAAAUGGCCGCGGUAUUUUGACCGUGCUAAGGUAGCAUAAUCAUUAGUUUUUUUAUUGAAAGCUGGAAUGAAGGGUUGGAUGAGAAAAAAACUGUCUCUUAAUUAUUUUGUAAGAAUUUUAUUUUUAAGUAAAAAGGCUUAAAUUUGUUUGAAAGACGAGAAGACCCUAUAGAGUUUUAUAUAAUAAUAUAUUUUAAUAAUUAGGAUUUAGUGUUUAAAAAUUUAUUUUAUAUUUAGUUGGGGUGACUAGAAAAUUUAAUAAACUUUUUUUUAUAAUUUCAUUGAUAUAUGAAUAUAUGAUCCAUAUUUUGUGAUUAAAAGAAAAAAUUACCUUAGGGAUAACAGCGUAAUUUUUUUUGAGAGUUCUUAUCGAUAGAAAAGAUUGCGACCUCGAUGUUGGAUUAAAAUUAAUUUUUGGUGUAGAAGCUAAUAAAUUUAGGUCUGUUCGACCUUUAAAAUUU
RNAcentral lists this ribosomal RNA (506 nucleotides) under Glenea sp. JL-2014. RNAcentral describes it as "partial 16S ribosomal RNA". It matches the Rfam family "Bacterial large subunit ribosomal RNA", at positions 1819 to 2596 of the family's 2925-position model. The record is from RNAcentral. Lineage: Eukaryota; Metazoa; Arthropoda; Insecta; Coleoptera; Cerambycidae.